CAGCCGCCACGGGAAUACGAAGGGGGCUAGCGUUGCUCGGAAUUACUGGGCGUAAAGGGCGCGUAGGCGGCGCUCCAAGUUAGGCGUGAAAUUCCCGGGCUCAACCUGGGGACUGCGCUUAAGACUGGAGUGCUAGAGUAUGGAAGAGGUUAGUGGAAUUGCGAGUGUAGAGGUGAAAUUCGUAGAUAUUCGCAGGAACACCAGUGGCGAAGGCGGCUAACUGGUCCAUAACUGACGCUGAGGUGCGAAAGCGUGGGGAGCAAACAGGAUUAGAUACCCCAGUAGUCCCUGUCUCUUAUAC
Molecule: ribosomal RNA, 301 nt
Filed under: uncultured bacterium
Lineage: Bacteria
Description: partial 16S ribosomal RNA
Rfam family: Bacterial small subunit ribosomal RNA
Source: RNAcentral